GAUAAGGUCAGCUAAUAAAGCUUUCGGGCCCAUACCCCGAACAUGAUGGUUAAAAUCCCUCCCAUAUCA
Molecule: transfer RNA, 69 nt
Filed under: Misgurnus anguillicaudatus (oriental weatherfish)
Lineage: Eukaryota; Metazoa; Chordata; Actinopteri; Cypriniformes; Cobitidae
Also listed under: 1 other name
Description: tRNA-Met
Rfam family: tRNA
About the family: Transfer RNA (tRNA) molecules are approximately 80 nucleotides in length. Their secondary structure includes four short double-helical elements and three loops (D, anti-codon, and T loops).
Source: RNAcentral